AGUGAACGCUGGCGGUAGGCCUAACACAUGCAAGUCGAACGGCAGCACAGUAAGAGCUUGCUCUUACGGGUGGCGAGUGGCGGACGGGUGAGGAAUACAUCGGAAUCUACUUUUUCGUGGGGGAUAACGUAGGGAAACUUACGCUAAUACCGCAUACGACCUACGGGUGAAAGCAGGGGAUCUUCGGACCUUGCGCGAUUGAAUGAGCCGAUGUCGGAUUAGCUAGUUGGCGGGGUAAAGGCCCACCAAGGCGACGAUCCGUAGCUGGUCUGAGAGGAUGAUCAGCCACACUGGAACUGAGACACGGUCCAGACUCCUACGGGAGGCAGCAGUGGGGAAUAUUGGACAAUGGGCGCAAGCCUGAUCCACCCAUACCGCGUGGGUGAAGAAGGCCUUCGGGUUGUAAAGCCCUUUUGUUGGGAAAGAAAAGCAGCAGGUUAAUACCCCGCUGUUCUGACGGUACCCAAAGAAUAAGCACCGGCUAACUUCGU
This 491-nucleotide ribosomal RNA is filed under the name uncultured bacterium. RNAcentral's name for it is "partial 16S ribosomal RNA". It matches the Rfam family "Bacterial small subunit ribosomal RNA", at positions 29 to 506 of the family's 1533-position model. The record is from RNAcentral.